This 301-nucleotide ribosomal RNA is filed under the name uncultured bacterium. RNAcentral describes it as "partial 16S ribosomal RNA". It matches the Rfam family "Bacterial small subunit ribosomal RNA", at positions 509 to 808 of the family's 1533-position model. The record is from RNAcentral.
CAGUAGCCGCGGGAAUACGUAGGUCCCGAGCGUUGUCCGGAUUUAUUGGGCGUAAAGCGAGCGCAGGCGGUUAGAUAAGUCUGAAGUUAAAGGCUGUGGCUUAACCAUAGUAUGCUUUGGAAACUGUUUAACUUGAGUGCGGAAGGGGAGAGUGGAAUUCCAUGUGUAGCGGUGAAAUGCGUAGAUAUAUGGAGGAACACCGGUGGCGAAAGCGGCUCUCUGGUCUGUAACUGACGCUGAGGCUCGAAAGCGUGGGGAGCAAACAGGAUUAGAUACCCCCGUAGUCCCUGUCUCUUAUACA